AUGAACGCUGGCGGCGUGCCUAAUACAUGCCCGUCGAGCGAACAGACGAGGAGCUUGCUCCUCUGACGUUAGCGGCGGACGGGUGAGUAACACGUGGAUAACCUACCUAUAAGACUGGGAUAACUUCGGGAAACCGGAGCUAAUACCGGAUAAUAUAUUGAACCGCAUGGUUCAAUAGUGAAAGACGGUUUUGCUGUCACUUAUAGAUGGAUCCGCGCCGCAUUAGCUAGUUGGUAAGGUAACGGCUUACCAAGGCAACGAUGCGUAGCCGACCUGAGAGGCGGAUCGGCCACCCUGGAACUGAGACACGGUCCAUACUCCUAAGGGAGGCAGCAGUAGGGAAUCUUCCGCAAUGGGCGAAAGCCUGACGGAGCAACGCCGCGUGAGUGAUGAAGGUCUUCGGAUCGUAAAACUCUGUUAUUAGGGAAGAACAAAUGUGUAAGUAACUAUGCACGUCUUGACGGUACCUAAUCAGAAAGCCACGGCUAACUACGUG
This 496-nucleotide ribosomal RNA is filed under the name uncultured bacterium. RNAcentral describes it as "partial 16S ribosomal RNA". It matches the Rfam family "Bacterial small subunit ribosomal RNA", at positions 29 to 507 of the family's 1533-position model. The record is from RNAcentral.